AAAUAAAAAUUUAUCCUACAACUCAAAUUCCACUCUUAUCUUCACAAUAUUGUGUGUACAAAAGGAGAAUAAGUUUACUUCACUUAUCACAAUCAACAACGUGCUUUACCUAGUUUUGCUAUGAUCAAUUUCAAUUUUCCAAAAACCUGUUUAAUUUCCUACCAACUGCUGUAACAUAAGCAAAGAUAUGACAAAUAUUUCAAAAACUGACUCAGAAUAGGUGGAAGCAUUCUUAGCGAGGCAAGGCAAGGAAGGAAGAAGGGUUUUACUGGGGUAACGUGAGUGAACCACCCUCUCUGGUUUCGUGAAAUGGCGUCGUCGCUGAAUUCUGACAACACCAACGCCAACGCCACCAAGAAAACAACCAACAGCAACGCCGUGUUCAUCGACACCAACCUCGAUACGCACUUGGCAGUCCCCGUUUAUGAGCACGACACCGUCUCCGACCUCAAAAAGAGAAUCGAGUCCGAACACCCUUCAUGCUUUCCCAAAUUUGGCCACAUUCAUAUUCAUGGGAUUAAGGUUCACCGCACCGGCUACAUUUAUGACCUUUCAGAUUCCAUGUCUGUCACAAAUGCCUUUAAUGGUUUCAAUGACGGCUGGUUCCUUACUGUUGAGGCUUCUUCAUUGGGGGAGGAGGCUACACAAAGUGACCAAUUGAUUACUCAUGCUUCUCCUAAGUCCUAACCAGGUGCUACCGUGUCAUGCCGAUAAUUGUAGCGUAUGGUGGGGAUAGGAUGGAAAAUGGUGGAGGAAGUUCCAGACAGCCUUGGUGACACUUAAUCACAGGUUUCCGAGCAAAACAAUGUUUGUUGUUUAAACGUGUUUGCUGAUAAUGUUGUGAUUCACUAUAUUGCAAGGAGUCAAGUUAAUCAUAACAAUUCAGUAGAGGUAUGAUCAGUUGCAUUGAUCGAAGUUGUCUAGAACUGAAGCAUACCUUAUGUUAUGUCUUAAAAAAAAUUCCUAGGUGAGGUCAUACGCAGCAUGUUGUGGCUGUUUAGUCUAAAGCAUUUUAUUUUACAUUUGCCAUUACAAGAAUUUAGAUUAUGGUGAACUGUGUUGUCUUGGAAGCAUUUAAGCAUCCACGUUUUGAAUGAUAUGAUAAUAUAAAAGUAGUUGUUGGAAUUGAACUUAAAAA
This is a long non-coding RNA of Lotus japonicus, 1138 nucleotides long. RefSeq lists it as uncharacterized. Lineage: Eukaryota; Viridiplantae; Streptophyta; Magnoliopsida; Fabales; Fabaceae. The record is from RefSeq and is a predicted model, not a curated record. The transcript is spliced from 3 exons.